Molecule: ribosomal RNA, 500 nt
Filed under: uncultured bacterium
Lineage: Bacteria
Description: partial 16S ribosomal RNA
Rfam family: Bacterial small subunit ribosomal RNA
Source: RNAcentral
AUUGAACGCUGGCGGCAUGCCUUACACAUGCAAGUCGAACGGUAGAGGGGGGCAACCCCUUCGAGAGUGGCGAACGGGUGAGUAAUGCAUCGGAACGUGCCCAGUCGUGGGGGAUAGACCGGGGAAACCCGGAUUAAUACCGCAUCCGACCUGAGGGUGAAAGCGGGGGACUCGCAAGGGCCUCGCGCGAUUGGAGCGGCCGAUGUCGGAUUAGGUAGUUGGUGGGGUAAAGGCCUACCAAGCCGGCGAUCCGUAGCUGGUCUGAGAGGACGACCAGCCACACUGGGACUGAGACACGGCCCAGACUCCUACGGGAGGCAGCAGUGGGGAAUUUUGGACAAUGGGGGCAACCCUGAUCCAGCCAUGCCGCGUGCGGGAAGAAGGCCUUCGGGUUGUAAACCGCUUUUGUCAGGGAAGAAAUGUCCUGGGCUAAUACCCUGGGGGGAUGACGGUACCUGAAGAGUAAGCACCGGCUAACUACGUGCCAGCCGCCGCCGUAA